Long non-coding RNA from Hippocampus comes (tiger tail seahorse), 545 nucleotides. RefSeq lists it as uncharacterized. The record is from RefSeq and is a predicted model, not a curated record. Lineage: Eukaryota; Metazoa; Chordata; Actinopteri; Syngnathiformes; Syngnathidae. The transcript is spliced from 2 exons.
UAAAAAAUAAAAUUCUGUCUACAAUGUAGGAUCUUAAAAUCAAAAGGGAGUCAAGUUACAUCCAGAUGCUGAAGAUUUUUGGAUCCCUAAAACAAAGUGUCUCUGUUUUAUACACAAAUAUUUCAAUUUGUACAAGUUUAACUAAGAAAUUAUUCACUUUUGUUUUGCCCAAAAUAAACAGUAGUGAUUUGAAAUGUAGACAGUAGUUCAGUAAUAUAAAAUCUCUAAAUACAACAUCAUCGGCAGAAUGCCGAUCUUGUCAAAUUCAGAUCGAUACAUCAAAAACGCAUGCAUGCGAGCGAAUGAAGCAAAAGCAAUGAAAACAUAACCUGCAGGUUAAAAGGGGGGCUUACCCUGAGUUCAGUGCGUGUCUGGGUUACGACGUGUCUGAGUAGUUCCACAGCGAGUUGACAACUAGGUAAAAGGAAGGUUAAUGUGGGCUUUGCUCAGUGCCAUGAUGAGGCUGCUGAAAAAGCUUUAAAGCUUUGUGACUGCAGCACUUUUGACUAAUCUGGACCACUUUACUGCUCAAUAUAACUCACUCG